This 1694-nucleotide unclassified non-coding RNA is filed under the name uncultured fungus. RNAcentral's name for it is "sequence contains 18S rRNA gene, ITS1, 5.8S rRNA gene, ITS2, 28S rRNA gene". The stretch from base 586 to 1694 matches the Rfam family "Eukaryotic large subunit ribosomal RNA", at positions 1 to 961 of the family's 3401-position model. Lineage: Eukaryota; Fungi. The record is from RNAcentral.
GGAAGGAUCAUUAGUGAAAAAAAACCUUGCGGGCCCCCAAAAGGGGAGCCCCUAAAGCCUUAUUGGCAAAACGAUGCAAAAAGAGGCCUUGGAGUUAGUUUGUGGAGAGCUCCAAAGGAGAGAUUUUUUGAAUUGUGGUUUGAUCAGCAUUUCCCAAGAGGAAUUGCACAAAUUUAUACUGUUAUUAGGGCAAAAGCCCAAAAAGAAGCAAAAAUUAAAUAAAAUCCUCAACGCUGGAUACCUUGGCUCAGACUGCGAUGAAGAGCGCAGUGAAAUGUGAUAAAUAGUGUGAAUUGCAGAACACAGUGAAUCAUUAAGAACUUGAAUGCAGUGCGCCUGCAGGUCACACUGCAGGCAUGUUCUCUUGAGUGUCAGCACAAAACAACCACGCAAGCUAACCGGGAGGUUAGUCUAGCGGACUUGGGGUUCCGUUGCGGUUCCCUUAAAUGCACGUUGUCCACAGAUUGCCCAAGCGCACUGUGCCCACUGAACCCAUCUUGGGGGCUUUACAGGGCCAAUUAGCUAGGCUUGAUGGAGGAUGACCGGACUGGAGCUGUCCGCAAGGCUCACUGCGAGCAAAACACCUGACCUCAAGUGGAGCAAGACUACUUGCUGAACUUAAGCAUAUCAAUAAGCAAAGGAAAAGAAAUUAACCAAGAUCCCCUCAGUAACUGCGAGUGAAGCGGGGAAAGUCCAAGCUUUUAAUCAGCCAGGUCUGCCUGGCGGAAUUGUGGUUUUGUGACCAACUUCAGGCAAGGGCACUGCUCAAAGUCUCCUGGAAUGGAGCGCCAGAGAUGGUGAGAGCCCAGUGAGGGCAGCGCCUGAGACUAUAUGUUGUUGGAUCAAAGAGUCAGAUUGUUUGGUAGUACAGUCUAAACUGGAUGGUAAGUCCCAUCUAAGACUAAAUACUAGUCUGAGACCGAUAGCGAACAAGUACCGUGAGGGAAAGGUGAAAAGAACCUUGAAAAGAGGGUGAAAAGUGCUUGAAAGCGCUGAGGAGGAAGCGGUUCUGUCCACCAGCGUGGCCCCGAAUCAGCUGGGACCAAGGCAAGUGGUGUUGUUGGGAACUGCCUCUUGGUAGUCCCUUCCGUGCCCUCAGCCUUGUGGACCGGUGCACUUUGGGGCCAACGACCAAUGGUGGUGGGGCCUGGGGUAGAAGCGCGUCAGAAAGGCACCAGCGGUGCGCUGUUGGGAUGUUUUGAUGCGACGUGCCUUGGGCCCCACUAGAGAUGCCUAAAGGGCAAUGGUGGGAUAUGCAGUACGGAUGGGGCCGUCUGCUGGAAGCUAUGGGAGCAAGUACACUUGCUCUUGUAGAAGUGCUGGCAAGGGCUUUGGCCGCGUCAGUCCUUCCGAAAUCCAUUGGAACAUUUGGACAAAACUGUCCCGUCUUGAAACACGGACCAAGGAGUCUAACCAAGGUGCAAGUGUAUGGGUGAAACAAACCCACACGCACAGUGAAAGCAAAGUGUGGGAGGGGGGCAACCCCUGCACCACAAACCGAUCCAGAGGCUUGCCAAAGGAUUUGAGUUAGAGCACCUCUGUUAGGACCCGAAAGAUUACGAACUAUGCCCGCGCAGGAUGAAGCUAGGAGAAAUCCUGGUGGAGGUCCGACGCAGUUCUAACGUGCAAAUUGAUUGCUAGACGUGGGUAUAGCGGCGAAAGACUAAUCGAGUAAUCUAGUAGCUGGUUCCCUC